GACGAACGCUGGCGGCGUGCUUAACACAUGCAAGUCGAGCGGUAAGGCUCCUUCGGGAGUACACGAGCGGCGAACGGGUGAGUAACACGUGAGUAACCUGCCCCAAUCAUCGGGAUAACCAUUGGAAACGAUGGCUAAUACCGAAUACGACCACCGAAGGCAUCUUCUGGUGGUGGAAAGCUCCGGCGGAUUGGGAUGGACUCGCGGCCUAUCAGCUUGUUGGUGAGGUAAUGGCUCACCAAGGCAACGACGGGUAGCCGGCCUGAGAGGGUGACCGGCCACACUGGGGACUGAGACACGGCCCAGACUCCUACGGGAGGCAGCAGUGAGGAAUAUUGGUCAAUGGGCGCAAGCCUGAACCAGCCAUCCCGCGUGCAGGAAGACGGCCCUAUGGGUUGUAAACUGCUUUUCCAGGGAGAGAAACUUACGCACGUGUUGCGUGACUGACGGUACCCUGGGAAUAAGCAUCGGCUAACUCCGUGCCAGCAGCCGCGGUAAU
RNAcentral lists this ribosomal RNA (499 nucleotides) under uncultured bacterium. RNAcentral's name for it is "bacterial SSU rRNA". It matches the Rfam family "Bacterial small subunit ribosomal RNA", at positions 28 to 524 of the family's 1533-position model. The record is from RNAcentral.